UACGUAGGGUGCAAGCGUUGUCCGGAAUCAUUGGGCGUAAAGAGCGCGCAGGCGGCUUGGCAAGUCGGGUGUGAAAUCCCGGGGCUCAACCCCGGGACUGCAUUCGAUACUGUCAGGCUAGAGGUAGGUAGGGGAGAUCGGAAUUCCUGGUGUAGCGGUGAAAUGCGCAGAUAUCAGGAGGAACACCGGUGGCGAAGGCGGAUCUCUGGGCCUUACCUGACGCUCAGGCGCGAAAGCUAGGGGAGCGAACAGG
Molecule: ribosomal RNA, 253 nt
Filed under: uncultured bacterium
Lineage: Bacteria
Description: partial 16S ribosomal RNA
Rfam family: Bacterial small subunit ribosomal RNA
Source: RNAcentral